UACGUAGGGCGCAAGCGUUGUCCGGAAUUAUUGGGCGUAAAGAGCUCGUAGGCGGCUUGUCACGUCUGCUGUGAAAUCCCGGGGCUCAACCCCGGGCGUGCAGUGGAUACGGGCUGGCUAGAGGCAGGCAGGGGAGAACGGAAUUCCCGGUAUAGCGGUGAAAUGCGCAGAUAUCGGGAGGAACACCGGUGGCGAAGGCGGUUCUCUGGGCCUGUACUGACGCUGAGGAGCGAAAGCGUGGGGAGCGAACAGG
This 253-nucleotide ribosomal RNA is filed under the name uncultured bacterium. RNAcentral's name for it is "partial 16S ribosomal RNA". It matches the Rfam family "Bacterial small subunit ribosomal RNA", at positions 524 to 776 of the family's 1533-position model. The record is from RNAcentral.